AACGAACGCUGGCGGCAUGCCUAACACAUGCAAGUCGAACGAGACCUUCGGGUCUAGUGGCGCACGGGUGCGUAACGCGUGGGAACCUGCCCUUAGAUUCGGAAUAACUCCCCGAAAGGGGUGCUAAUACCGGAUAAUGUCUUCGGACCAAAGAUUUUUCGCCUUUGGAUGGGCCCGCGUUGGAUUAGCUAGUUGGUAGGGUAAAAGCCUGCCAAGGAGACGAUCCAUAGCUGGUCUGAGAGGAUGAUCAGCCACACUGGGACUGAGACACGGCCCAGACUCCUACGGGAGGCAGCAGUGGGGAAUAUUGGACAAUGGGCGAAAGCCUGAUCCAGCAAUGCCGCGUGAGUGAUGAAGGCCUUAGGGUUGUAAAGCUCUUUUACCCGGGAUGAUAAUGACAGUACCGGGAGAAUAAGCUCCGGCUAACUCCGUG
Molecule: ribosomal RNA, 433 nt
Filed under: uncultured bacterium
Lineage: Bacteria
Description: partial 16S ribosomal RNA
Rfam family: Bacterial small subunit ribosomal RNA
Source: RNAcentral